GCGAACCCGCGAGGUCAAGCAAAUCCCAUAAAAUUAUUCUCAGUUCGGAUUGUAGUCUGCAACUCGACUACAUGAAGCUGGAAUCGCUAGUAAUCGUAGAUCAGCAUGCUACGGUGAAUACGUUCCCGGGUCUUGUACACACCGCCCGUCACACCACGAGAGUCUGUAACACCCGAAGCCGGUGGAGUAACCUUUUAUUAGGAGCUAGCCGUCGAAGGUGGGACAAAUGAUUGGGGUGAAGUCGUAACAAGGUAGCCGUAUCGGAAGGUGCGGCUGGAUCACCUCCUUU
Molecule: ribosomal RNA, 289 nt
Filed under: Mammaliicoccus fleurettii
Lineage: Bacteria; Bacillati; Bacillota; Bacilli; Caryophanales; Staphylococcaceae
Description: partial 16S ribosomal RNA
Rfam family: Bacterial small subunit ribosomal RNA
Source: RNAcentral